This 763-nucleotide long non-coding RNA is filed under the name Fukomys damarensis (Damara mole-rat). RNAcentral describes it as "lncRNA (ENSFDAG00000028459.1)". Lineage: Eukaryota; Metazoa; Chordata; Mammalia; Rodentia; Bathyergidae. The record is from RNAcentral.
GGAAACCAGCUAAACAAGUUUCUGUCUGGUGGAUGCUGUCGGAAACUGGGCCUCCAGGCCAUCAUGAAUAAUGAAGAAGCCUGCUUCUUCCAGAGUGUAGGUCACAGCAAUUGCAAGAGACAAUUGCCCAGCAAAUCAAAGAUUAUAGCACCUGCCAGUAAUCCUAUCGGGCAACAAAUCUGAGAAGAGGUCCCCAAGCACGCUCACCAUGAAGCAAUGACACAGCACAGCGUCUCCUCGCAGCUAAGCUUCCACAGGGCUAACGGGAAAAAGAGUCAAGCUCCUUCCCUCUCUGAUUUCCUCAUAACAAGCACUAGAUUCCAGUGCAAUCCAGAAAAGGGAAUAUGUAAGACCUGCUCCAGGAUAAAGUGGCCUAUCCACUGCAAGACAAGAACUUGACGAGUGGGAGUCAGAGAAGCACAUGUAGGGGCAAAGGGCUGGAAGAGCAUUUCACCGGGGCAGGAGAAGUGCAUCGGUGAGAGGGCAACUGUUCCUUGAAGUGCUCUGAAGUGACUGCUCUGGAGGCUGGAGAUGGAGGUGAAGGUGCUGCGGGGCAACUGGUUUCCCUAGUUUUAAUGGGAGCAGCAGAGAGAAGGUAAAUGCAAUUUCCUUACUAAGACCCUGAGGCAGUGAGAGAAUCAGUGUUUUACGUGCAUGGCUCUGUGGCAGUGGCUAACUGAACACCAGAUUCCUAGAGAUAAACUGAAUGGGACAGCUUGCUAAAUUACUUCUUUCGUAUACGGGGAGAGAAAUCCUGGCACGC